UAAUACGGAGGGUGCAAGCGUUAUCCGGAUUCACUGGGUUUAAAGGGUGUGUAGGCGGAUAUUUAAGUCCGAGGUGAAAUCUCCAGGCUCAACCUGGAAACUGCCUUGGAUACUAUUUAUCUUGAAUAUCGUUGAGGUAGGCGGAAUAUAUCAUGUAGCGGUGAAAUGCUUAGAUAUGAUAUAGAACACCGAUUGCGAAGGCAGCUUACUAAACGAAGAUUGACGCUGAGGCACGAAAGCGUGGGGAUCAAACAGGAUUAGAUACCCUGGUAGUCCACGCCCUAAACGAUGAUUACUCGACAUACGCGAUACACAGUGUGUGUCUGAGCGAAAGCAUUAAGUAAUCCACCUGGGAAGUACGAUCGCAAGAUUG
Molecule: ribosomal RNA, 373 nt
Filed under: uncultured bacterium
Lineage: Bacteria
Description: bacterial SSU rRNA
Rfam family: Bacterial small subunit ribosomal RNA
Source: RNAcentral